Molecule: non-coding RNA, 80 nt
Organism: Podarcis lilfordi (Lilford's wall lizard)
Lineage: Eukaryota; Metazoa; Chordata; Lepidosauria; Squamata; Lacertidae
Source: the annotation of a GenBank genome assembly
GCUUCCUGGAUAGCUCAGUUGGUUAGAGCAGGGUGUUGAUAACGCCAAGGUUGCAAGUUUGAUCCUCCUAAGGGACAGCA